UAACAACGAACUGUGAGAAGUCAGCAGAAGUCGUAGUAGGCGAAGCUCUGAAAUGGGCGUUGCCGAAGGAC
This 71-nucleotide non-coding RNA is filed under the name uncultured Mediterraneibacter sp. The record is from RNAcentral. Lineage: Bacteria; Bacillati; Bacillota; Clostridia; Lachnospirales; Lachnospiraceae.